RNAcentral lists this transfer RNA (52 nucleotides) under Phrynocephalus maculatus (blacktail toadhead agama). RNAcentral describes it as "partial tRNA-Thr". It matches the Rfam family "tRNA", at positions 1 to 50 of the family's 71-position model. From Rfam's summary of the family: Transfer RNA (tRNA) molecules are approximately 80 nucleotides in length. Their secondary structure includes four short double-helical elements and three loops (D, anti-codon, and T loops). Further hydrogen bonds mediate the characteristic L-shaped molecular structure. tRNAs have two regions of fundamental functional importance: the anti-codon, which is responsible for specific mRNA codon recognition, and the 3' end, to which the tRNAs corresponding amino acid is attached (by aminoacyl-tRNA synthetases). tRNAs cope with the degeneracy of the genetic code in two manners: having more than one tRNA (with a specific anti-codon) for a particular amino acid; and 'wobble' base-pairing, i.e. permitting non-standard base-pairing at the 3rd anti-codon position. Lineage: Eukaryota; Metazoa; Chordata; Lepidosauria; Squamata; Agamidae. The record is from RNAcentral.
GUCCUAAUAGCUUAAUAGCAUAAAGCAUUAGUUUUGUAAACUAAAUAUGGGU